UACGUAGGUUGCGAGCGUUGUCCGGAUUUACUGGGCGUAAAGGGAGCGUAGGCGGUUUUUUAAGUGGGGUGUGAAAUCCCUGGGCUUAACCCAGGAAUUGCAUUCCAAACUGGAAGACUAGAGUGCAGGAGAGGAAAGUGGAAUUCCAAGUGUAGCGGUGAAAUGCGUAGAGAUUUGGAGGAACACCAGUGGCGAAGGCGACUUUCUGGACUGUAACUGACGCUGAGGCUCGAGAGCGUGGGGAGCAAACAGG
Molecule: ribosomal RNA, 253 nt
Filed under: uncultured bacterium
Lineage: Bacteria
Description: partial 16S ribosomal RNA
Rfam family: Bacterial small subunit ribosomal RNA
Source: RNAcentral